Molecule: ribosomal RNA, 497 nt
Filed under: uncultured bacterium
Lineage: Bacteria
Description: partial 16S ribosomal RNA
Rfam family: Bacterial small subunit ribosomal RNA
Source: RNAcentral
GAUGAACGCUGGCGGCGUGCCUAAUACAUGCAAGUCGAGCGAACAGACGAGGAGCUUGCUCCUCUGACGUUAGCGGCGGACGGGAGAGUAACACGUGGAUAACCUACCUAUAAGACUGGGAUAACUUCGGGAAACCGGAGCUAAUACCGGAUAAUAUAUUGAACCGGAGGGUUCAAUAGUGAAAGACGGUUUUGCUGUAACUUAUAGAUGGAUCCGCGCCGCAUUGGCUAGUUGGUAAGGUAACGGCUUACCAAGGCAAGGAUGCGUAGCCGACCUGUGAGGGUGAUCGGCCACACUGGAACUGAGCCGCGGUCCAGACUCCUACGGGAGGCAGCAGUAGGGAAUCUUCCGCAAUGGGCGGAAGCCUGACGGAGCAGCGCCGCGUGAGUGAUGAAGGUCUUCGGAUCGUAAAACUCUGUUAUUAGGGAAGAACAAAUGUGUAAGUAACUAUGCACGUCUUGACGGUACCUAAUCAGAAAGCCACGGCUAACUACGUG